RNAcentral lists this ribosomal RNA (20 nucleotides) under Pisolithus albus. RNAcentral's name for it is "partial 28S ribosomal RNA". The record is from RNAcentral. Lineage: Eukaryota; Fungi; Basidiomycota; Agaricomycetes; Boletales; Pisolithaceae.
UGAAGGCUUGACCCUCAAAU